UGCUGGUCCAAGUGCAGUGGUGUUUACAAUGAACCGAUCACAACUAGCUACACAUUCCUUUGUUCCUUCUCUACUCCCACUGCUUCACUUGACUAGCCUUAG
This is an unclassified non-coding RNA of Otolemur garnettii (small-eared galago), 102 nucleotides long. It matches the Rfam family "Y RNA". Rfam says of the family: Y RNAs are components of the Ro ribonucleoprotein particle (Ro RNP), in association with Ro60 and La proteins. The Y RNAs and Ro60 and La proteins are well conserved, but the function of the Ro RNP is not known. NCBI's taxonomy places the organism in Eukaryota, Metazoa, Chordata, Mammalia, Primates, Galagidae. The record is from Ensembl.